RNAcentral lists this ribosomal RNA (253 nucleotides) under uncultured bacterium. RNAcentral describes it as "partial 16S ribosomal RNA". It matches the Rfam family "Bacterial small subunit ribosomal RNA", at positions 524 to 776 of the family's 1533-position model. The record is from RNAcentral.
UACGUAGGGUGCGAGCGUUGUCCGGACUUAUUGGGCGUAAAGAGCUCGUAGGCGGUUUGUCGCGUCGGCCGUGAAAACCUGCAGCUUAACUGUGGGCUUGCGGUCGAUACGGGCAGACUUGAGUUCGGUAGGGUAGACUGGAAUUCCUGGUGUAGCGGUGAAAUGCGCAGAUAUCAGGAGGAACACCGGUGGCGAAGGCGGGUCUCUGGGCCGAUACUGACGCUGAGGAGCGAAAGCGUGGGGAGCGAACAGG